RNAcentral lists this ribosomal RNA (301 nucleotides) under uncultured bacterium. Its description in RNAcentral is "partial 16S ribosomal RNA". It matches the Rfam family "Bacterial small subunit ribosomal RNA", at positions 509 to 807 of the family's 1533-position model. The record is from RNAcentral.
CAGUAGCCACGGUAAUACGGAGGGAGUUAGCGUUGCUCGGAAUCACUGGGCGUAAAGGGUGCGUAGGCGGGUCUUUAAGUCAGGGGUGAAAUCCUGGAGCUCAACUCCAGAACUGCCUUUGAUACUGAAGAUCUUGAGUUCGGGAGAGGUGAGUGGAACUGCGGGUGUAGAGGUGAAAUUCGUAGAUAUUCGCAAGAACACCAGUGGCGAAGGCGGCUCACUGGCCCGAUACUGACGCUGAGGCACGAAAGCGUGGAGAGCAAACAGGAUUAGAUACCCCCGUAGUCCCUGUCUCUUAUAC